CCUACGGGAGGCAGCAGUGGGGGAUAUUGCACAAUGGGGGAAACCCUGAUGCAGCGACGCCGCGUGGGUGAAGAAGCGCCUCGGCGCGUAAAGCCCUGUCAGCAGGGAAGAAAAUGACGGUACCUGAAGAAGAAGCCCCGGCUACCUACGUGCCAGCAGCCGCGGUAAUACGUAGGGGGCAAGCGUUAUCCGGCGUUACUGGGUGUAAAGGGGGCGCAGACGGCGAUGCAAGCCAGGAGUGAAAGCCCGGGGCCCAACCCCGGGACUGCUCUUGGAACUGCGUAGCUAGAGUGCAGGAGGGGCAGGCGGAAUUCCUGGUGUAGCGGUGAAAUGCGUAGAUAUCAGGAGGAACACCGGUGGCGAAGGCGGCCUGCUGGACUGCAACUGACGUUGAGGCCCGAAAGCGUGGGGAGCAAACAGGAUUAGAUACCCCAGUAGUC
Molecule: ribosomal RNA, 440 nt
Filed under: uncultured bacterium
Lineage: Bacteria
Description: partial 16S ribosomal RNA
Rfam family: Bacterial small subunit ribosomal RNA
Source: RNAcentral